UCCUUCGGGAAUGAGUACAGCGGCGGACGGGUGAGUAAUGCGUGAGAAUCUGCCCUCUAAUGAAGAAUACCCCCGAGAAAUCGGGUCCAAUACUGCAUACGUCCCUUCGGGGAGAAAGGUGGCUUAAUUUGCUGCCGUUAGAGGAUGAGCUCGCGUGCUAUUAGCUAGUUGGUGGGGUAAAGGCCUACCAAGGCAAUGAUGGCUAGCCGGCCUGAGAGGGUGUACGGCCACACUGGAACUUAGACACGGUCCAGACUCCUACGGGAGGCAGCAGUGGGGAAUAUUGCGCAAUGGGCGAAAGCCUGACGCAGCGACGCCGCGUGGAGGAUGAAGGUCUUCGGAUUGUAAACUUCUGUUAAGUGGGAAAAAAGACUCGCCUUUAAUAGGGGCGAGGGAUGAUUGUACCAUUAGAGAAAGCACUGGCUAACUUCGUGCCAGCAGCCGCGGUAAUACGAAGGGUGCGAGCGUUAUUCGGAAUCACUAGGGCGUAAAGGGUGUGUAGGCGGUGUAUUAAGUCUAUUGUUAAAUUCCUCGGCCUAACUGAGGACUCGCGAUGGAUACUGGUAUGCUGGAGGUUGGAAGAGAGGAGUGGAAUUCUCGGAGUAGCGGUAAAAUGCGUAGAUCUCGAGAGGAACACCGAUUGCGAAGGCAGCUCCUUGGUCCAUACCUGACGCUGAAACACGAAAGCGUGGGGAGCAAACAGGAUUAGAUACCCUGGUAGUCCACGCCGUAAACGAUGAUCACUAGAUGUCGGGUCUGCUUCUGCGGGCUCGGUGUCGUAGCUAACGCGAUAAGUGAUCCGCCUGGGAACUA
Molecule: ribosomal RNA, 813 nt
Filed under: uncultured organism
Description: bacterial SSU rRNA
Rfam family: Bacterial small subunit ribosomal RNA
Source: RNAcentral